Molecule: ribosomal RNA, 429 nt
Filed under: Chloroflexota bacterium
Lineage: Bacteria; Bacillati; Chloroflexota
Description: Chloroflexi bacterium partial 16S ribosomal RNA
Rfam family: Bacterial small subunit ribosomal RNA
Source: RNAcentral
UGGGGAAUAUUGCACAAUGGGCGCAAGCCUGAUGCAGCCAUGCCGCGUGUAUGAAGAAGGCCUUCGGGUUGUAAAGCACUUUCAGCGGGGAGGAAGGCGUUAAGGUUAAUAACCUCACCGAUUGACGUUACCCGCAGAAGAAGCACCGGCUAACUCCGUGCCAGCAGCCGCGGUAAUACGGAGGGUGCAAGCGUUAAUCGGAAUUACUGGGCGUAAAGCGCACGCAGGCGGUCUGUCAAGUCGGAUGUGAAAUCCCCGGGCUCAACCUGGGAACUGCAUUCGAAACUGGCAGGCUAGAGUCUUGUAGAGGGGGGUAGAAUUCCAGGUGUAGCGGUGAAAUGCGUAGAUAUAUGGAGGAACACCAGUGGCGAAGGCGGCUCUCUGGUCUGUAACUGACGCUGAGGCUCGAAAGCGUGGGGAGCAAACAGG